This 454-nucleotide ribosomal RNA is filed under the name uncultured organism. RNAcentral describes it as "partial 16S ribosomal RNA". It matches the Rfam family "Bacterial small subunit ribosomal RNA", at positions 331 to 801 of the family's 1533-position model. The record is from RNAcentral.
GUACACUCCUACGGGAGGCAGCAGUGGGGAAUAUUGGACAAUGGGCGCAAGCCUGAUCCAGCCAUGCCGCGUGAGUGAUGAAGGCCCUAGGGUUGUAAAGCUCUUUCACCGGUGAAGAUAAUGACGGUAACCGGAGAAGAAGCCCCGGCUAACUUCGUGCCAGCAGCCGCGGUAAUACGAAGGGGGCUAGCGUUGUUCGGAUUUACUGGGCGUAAAGCGCACGUAGGCGGACUAUUAAGUCAGGGGUGAAAUCCCGGGGCUCAACCCCGGAACUGCCUUUGAUACUGGUAGUCUUGAGUUCGAGAGAGGUGAGUGGAAUUCCGAGUGUAGAGGUGAAAUUCGUAGAUAUUCGGAGGAACACCAGUGGCGAAGGCGGCUCACUGGCUCGAUACUGACGCUGAGGUGCGAAAGCGUGGGGAGCAAACAGGAUUAGAAACCCCAGUAGUCCCAUGAU